RNAcentral lists this ribosomal RNA (1343 nucleotides) under uncultured bacterium. RNAcentral's name for it is "16S ribosomal RNA". It matches the Rfam family "Bacterial small subunit ribosomal RNA", at positions 28 to 1378 of the family's 1533-position model. The record is from RNAcentral.
GACGAACGCUGGCGGCGUGCUUAACACAUGCAAGUCGAACGGAAAGGCCCUGCUUUUGUGGGGUGCUCGAGUGGCGAACGGGUGAGUAACACGUGAGUAACCUGCCCUUGACUUUGGGAUAACUUCAGGAAACUGGGGCUAAUACCGGAUAGGAGCUCCUGCUGCAUGGUGGGGGUUGGAAAGUUUCGGCGGUUGGGGAUGGACUCGCGGCUUAUCAGCUUGUUGGUGGGGUAGUGGCUUACCAAGGCUUUGACGGGUAGCCGGCCUGAGAGGGUGACCGGCCACAUUGGGACUGAGAUACGGCCCAGACUCCUACGGGAGGCAGCAGUGGGGAAUAUUGCACAAUGGGCGGAAGCCUGAUGCAGCAACGCCGCGUGCGGGAUGACGGCCUUCGGGUUGUAAACCGCUUUCGCCUGUGACGAAGCGUGAGUGACGGUAAUGGGUAAAGAAGCACCGGCUAACUACGUGCCAGCAGCCGCGGUGAUACGUAGGGUGCGAGCGUUGUCCGGAUUUAUUGGGCGUAAAGGGCUCGUAGGUGGUUGAUCGCGUCGGAAGUGUAAUCUUGGGGCUUAACCCUGAGCGUGCUUUCGAUACGGGUUGACUUGAGGAAGGUAGGGGAGAAUGGAAUUCCUGGUGGAGCGGUGGAAUGCGCAAAUAUCAUGAGGAACACCAGUGGCGAAGGCGGUUCUCUGGGCCUUUCCUGACGCUGAGGAGCGAAAGCGUGGGGAGCGAACAGGCUUAGAUACCCUGGUAGUCCACGCUGUAAACGGUGGGUACUAGGUGUGGGGUCCAUUCCACGGGUUCCGUGCCGUAGCUAACGCUUUAAGUACCCCGCCUGGGGAGUACGGCCGCAAGGCUAAAACUCAAAGGAAUUGACGGGGCCCCGCACAAGCGGCGGAGCAUGCGGAUUAAUUCGAUGCAACGCGUAGAACCUUACCUGGGUUUGACAUGGAUCGGGAGUGCUCAGAGAUGGGUGUGCCUCUUUUGGGGUCGGUUCACAGGUGGUGCAUGCCUGUCGUCAGCUCGUGUCGUGAGAUGUUGGGUUAAGUCCCGCAACGAGCGCAACCCUUGUUCACUGUUGCCAGCACGUUAUGGUGGGGACUCAGUGGAGACCGCCGGGGUCAACUCGGAGGAAGGUGGGGAUGACGUCAAGUCCUCAUGCCCCUUAUGUCCAGGGCUUCACGCAUGCUACAAUGGCUGGUACAGAGAGUGGCGAGCCUGUGAGGGUGAGCGAAUCUCGGAAAGCCGGUCUCAGUUCGGAUUGGGGUCUGCAACUCGACCUCAUGAAGUCGGAGUCGCUAGUAAUCGCAGAUCAGCAACGCUGCGGUGAAUAAGUUCCCGGG